Molecule: ribosomal RNA, 530 nt
Filed under: Conchopterella sp. IG-2016
Lineage: Eukaryota; Metazoa; Arthropoda; Insecta; Neuroptera; Hemerobiidae
Description: partial 16S ribosomal RNA
Rfam family: Bacterial large subunit ribosomal RNA (bases 397-530)
Source: RNAcentral
CAAAAACAUGUCUUUUAGAUAAUAAUUUAAAGUCUAACCUGCCCACUGAUUUUAUAUUUAAAGGCCGCAGUAUUUUGACUGUGCAAAGGUAGCAUAAUCAUUUGUCUUUUAAUUGAAGGCUGGAAUGAAUGGUUGAAUGAAGUAUUAACUGUCUCAUUUUAAUAAAUUAAGAAUUUAGCUUUUAAAUAAAAAGGUUUAAAUAUAAUUAAAAGACGAGAAGACCCUAUAGAUUUUUAUAUUAUUUAAUUUAAUUUAAUUAAGAAAUAAAUUUUAUUAUUAUUUUAAAUAAUAUUUGAUUGGGGUGAUUAAAAAAUUAAAAAAACUUUUUUAUAUAAAAACAUAAAUUAAUGAUUAAUUGAUCCAAUUAUAUUGAUUAAAAGAUUAAAUUACCUUAGGGAUAACAGCGUAAUUUUUUUAGAGAGUUCAUAUCGAUAAAAAAGAUUGCGACCUCGAUGUUGAAUUAAAGGUUAUUUUUAAAUGUAGUAGUUUAAAGUUUAAGUCUGUUCGACUUUUAAAUCUUUACAUGAUCU